AUAGGGUGAGGCAUAUAGUUCACACCUCUGAUUGCUGUGAAUGUUUGGCUGGAGACAGUUUUCUGCAAGGCUGGAUAUGGUAGGAGAGUAGAUACUUGGAAGGCAGAGUCUCAGCAGAAAUGACUAGAAAUAUUUUUAAGCAUAGACAAAGUUUAGAUUUUCUACAGAACAGUAAAGAUGUUGAGAAAAAUGCCCUAAAAGCAAAGGCUCUGUGAUUCUUUUCAGAUCCCUCCCAAGUCCUGCUGUCCAGGAGGACACUCAAAAAUGUAUUCUUUGUUGGAAUGGCUACUUCCCGUUUCCCUGGAGCAGUGGGAGUGACUGACAUCACCGUUGGCCAAAUGUGUCGACUGGAAUCAUGUGACUAGACAUGCUGUCAGUUCAGACGUUUAGAAAGAGAUUUGAUGCACAGAAUAAAGGUGUAAUAUUUGUCAGAACCCAACGUUGUGCUUUUUUUCCAAAGAAGGAAAAACCCCGGAAAACACAUUGUGGUCUAGGAUAUCUUGGUCUUCGAAAGGUUUUUAAAAACCACAUUCUAUACAAUAACAAUGGUUUUUGUUUAAAAAAGAAGUCUUUACAAGUCCUAACACAUAAUAUGUAAUUUGGGGGGACGAUAAGGUGUUAUUUCCAAAGUCACUGAAACCUUUUAAUUUUUCUUACAUUUCAUAACUUUGAAACAAAUAGCCAUGAGAACUUGCUGACCAAAUUGCUGCUUGUUUUCUUAGUUCAAGUAGUUAUAUAGGGCUUUCUCAUGUAAGUAAAUGUUAUGAAUGGAAGUAGUUCCCAGUUGGGUC
Dermochelys coriacea (leatherback sea turtle) is the source of this 791-nucleotide long non-coding RNA. RefSeq lists it as uncharacterized. Lineage: Eukaryota; Metazoa; Chordata; Testudines; Dermochelyidae. The transcript has 3 exons. The record is from RefSeq and is a predicted model, not a curated record.